ACUAGCCUAACUGAAAUCACAAAAUCACAAAUUGUGCUUAUUGUGAUAACGUAAGGGAAAAAAAUGAUAUAACUUUACUAUUAGUGUUGUCUAAAUAACUGGUGCCAGAAGACUCGGUAACACCAGAAACGCGAACGUUAGUCGUCUUAAACAGGCGUAAAGGGUAAGUAGGCUGCUUUAAAAAUCUAAUUUAAAUUAAGCUAAUUAAUAAUAUUACUCCCUCACCACUAGCUCCGCAACUGCUUUAUUCUCUUUUUUUUUAAUUAAGAAAGGCUAAAAAAGUCCUCCCCCCAUUAGGGGUCGCGCAAGCGCACUUUAUUUAAAGUAAACCUAAAGGUCAAGGGAGUUGUAGCGAAGCAACUAGGGUGUACAAAUCCUCAGUUGCAAAACAAUGGGAUAACUUAAAGUUUUCAGAACUUAAAUUAUAAUUUAAGGCUAACUUAAAAUGAAAAUAGGGAAUUAUUAAAUGAAAAAAAUAGAUACACUUAAAGCUAGAAUCAUAAUUGAGAUAAACCAAAUAAUACUUAUGUGUAAGGGCGAUAUCUGAAAAUACUAAGUAGAAUACUAACGGUGAAAACUUUUUAUCUGGUAAUGAUUGACGCUGAGGUACGAAAGUGAGAACAGGGAAUAGGAUUAGAUACCCAGUUACCUCUCACCGUCAACGAUGAAUGGUAGUUGUUAGUUUAAUUAAAUUAGUGACGAUGUUAACGCGAUAACCAUUCCGCCUUGAGAGUACGGUUGCAAAACUGAAACCAAAAAAAUUAGUCGGUCUCGGAGCAAA
This 781-nucleotide ribosomal RNA is filed under the name Inocybe giacomi. Its description in RNAcentral is "16S ribosomal RNA". It matches the Rfam family "Bacterial small subunit ribosomal RNA", at positions 387 to 929 of the family's 1533-position model. Lineage: Eukaryota; Fungi; Basidiomycota; Agaricomycetes; Agaricales; Inocybaceae. The record is from RNAcentral.